Molecule: ribosomal RNA, 520 nt
Filed under: uncultured Glomus
Lineage: Eukaryota; Fungi; Glomeromycota; Glomeromycetes; Glomerales; Glomeraceae
Description: SSU rRNA
Rfam family: Eukaryotic small subunit ribosomal RNA
Source: RNAcentral
AGCAGCCGCGGUAAUUCCAGCUCCAAUAGCGUAUAUUAAAGUUGUUGCAGUUAAAAAGCUCGUAGUUGAAUUUCGGGGUUAAUAAGUUGGUCGUACCUAUGGUAUGUACAGGCUUUAUUGAUUCCUACCUCUUGACGAACUGUGAUGCCAUUAAUUUGGUGUUGCAAGGAAUCAGGACUGUUACCUUGAAAAAAUUAGAGUGUUUAAAGCAGGCUUACGCUUGAAUACAUUAGCAUGGAAUAAUGAAAUAGGACGUUUGAACCUAUUUUGUUGGUUUCUAGGAUCGACGUAAUGAUUAAUAGGGAUAGUUGGGGGCAUUAGUAUUCAAUUGUCAGAGGUGAAAUUCUUGGAUUUAUUGAAGACUAACUACUGCGAAAGCAUUUGCCAAGGAUGUUUUCAUUAAUCAAGAACGAAAGUUAGGGGAUCGAAGACGAUCAGAUACCGUCGUAGUCUUAACCAUAAACUAUGCCGACUAGGGAUCGGAUGAUGUAAUUUUUAAUGACUCAUUCGGCGCCUUACG